CUGUACCGUGACUAGUGGCACCGUGGCUAGCUGCACUGUGGGUAGCUGCACCGUGGCUAGUGGCACCGUGGCUAGCUGCAUCUUGGCUAGCUGCACCGUGGCCUGCAGUGCGGGCAUGAGGCUCACACUGCCAAUGGCCGUAUGUUCUGCUUCCACACUGUUGUCCUUGUCCCCUGCAGGUGUCGGCACAUCUGAAGCUUCAGGAGAAGGAUGAAGGCAGAAGGGAAAUGGUCAAGGAGAUACUGACAGCGCUGGGCUUGCUGUCUUGCGCCAACACGCGGACCGGGAGCCUGUCAGGUGGUCAGCGCAAGCGCCUGGCCAUCGCGCUGGAGCUGGUGAACAACCCUCCAGUCAUGUUCUUCGAUGAGCCCACCAGCGGCCUGGACAGCGCCUCCUGCUUCCAGGUGGUCUCGCUGAUGAAAGGGCUCGCUCAAGGGGGUCGCUCCAUCAUUUGCACCAUCCACCAGCCCAGCGCCAAACUCUUCGAGCUGUUCGACAAGCUUUACGUCCUGAGUCAAGGACAAUGUGUGUACCGGGGAAAAGUCUGCAAUCUUGUGCCAUAUUUGAGGGAUUUGGGUCUGAACUGCCCAACCUACCACAACCCAGCAGAUUUUGGUAAGCGGAGUCCUGAGCAGCUCGGGGGACAGAAAGGGGAUUUUCCUCCUCUGUGGGUCUCACUUUUAGCUGACGCCCCCAACUCAGAAACCACUUGACUACCACAAAUAGCUCAAGUGUCAUCCAGUUAUAAAACGUUUAAAGAAC
RNAcentral lists this small RNA (762 nucleotides) under Pan troglodytes (chimpanzee). Its description in RNAcentral is "retained intron". The record is from RNAcentral. Lineage: Eukaryota; Metazoa; Chordata; Mammalia; Primates; Hominidae.